This 468-nucleotide ribosomal RNA is filed under the name uncultured bacterium. RNAcentral describes it as "partial 16S ribosomal RNA". It matches the Rfam family "Bacterial small subunit ribosomal RNA", at positions 28 to 507 of the family's 1533-position model. The record is from RNAcentral.
GACGAACGCUGGCGGCGUGCUUAACACAUGCAAGUCGAACGGAAAGGCCCUGCUUUUGUGGGGUGAUCGAGUGGCGAACGGGUGAGUAACACGUAAAUAACCUGCCCUUGACUUUGGGAUAACUUCAGGAAACUGGGGCUAAUCCCGGAUAGGAGCUCCCGCUGCAGGGUGGGGGUUGGAAAGUUUCGGCGGUUGGGGAUGGACUCGCGGCUUAUCAGCUUGUUGGUGGGGUAGUGGCUUACCAAGGCAUUGGCGGGUACGCGGCAUGGGAAGGUGGACAGGGACAAUGGGACUGAGGUACGGAGCAGAGGGCAACAUGAGGCAACAGGGGGGAAUAUGGCACAACGGUCGCAAGCCGGAUAAAGCAACGCCGGGGGCGGGAUGACGGCCUGCGGGGUGUAAACCGCUUCAGCCUGUGACGCAGCGGGAGUGACGGUAAUGGGUAAAGAAGCACCGGCUAACUACGUG